UAUCCCUGGAUCCCAGUUAUAUGUGAAUGGAGACCUGAGGCUGCAGCAGAAACAGCCGCUGAGCUGUGGUGGCCUAGAUGCCCGAUACAAUACCCCAGAAAGGAAUUUCCAAUCCAAAACGUUUAUGACCAUUGUUAAGGAUUGUAAUUCAUCUUGCCAAACCACAACCAGGAAAGACUGCUCAUUUCUUCUCCCUGCAGCAGGGAGUUCUUGUUUAAGAUCACAUCACUGAUUACAAGACCUUCAAAUGCUUUAUCCUCUUCAGAUGCCUGGUCUCUGCCCUGUUAUCUGUAAGGGGAAAAUACCUUAUUUAUUUAUUGAAACGU
This is a long non-coding RNA of Sapajus apella (tufted capuchin), 326 nucleotides long. RefSeq lists it as uncharacterized. The record is from RefSeq and is a predicted model, not a curated record. The transcript has 2 exons. Lineage: Eukaryota; Metazoa; Chordata; Mammalia; Primates; Cebidae.